Non-coding RNA from Momordica charantia (bitter melon), 2133 nucleotides. The record is from RefSeq and is a predicted model, not a curated record. NCBI's taxonomy places the organism in Eukaryota, Viridiplantae, Streptophyta, Magnoliopsida, Cucurbitales, Cucurbitaceae.
AUGUGGUUACUUCCUCGUCUCGCGUGCGUGGCGACACAAGUCGCUUGGACCAACUUUUUGUCUUUCUCAGCGCCUGGGCGCCACAAACGGCGAUGACUCCCAACAAAAUGCCUCCUCCCAAUGAUAUGCAUUGACUGUCACUGAAGUUUUUGCUCAACCAAACAUAGCUUGUGAACACAUGGAGCACAAUUGUGCAAUCAAGAAUGAUGCCACUGAACUAAUAGGCAAUACCCCUAUGGUGUAUCUCAACAAGAUGGCAGAUGGCUGUUUUGCCAAGAUUGCUGCCAAACUAGAGUCAAUGGAGCCUUGUUCGAGCGUCAAAGACCGGAUUGCACUCAGUAUGAUACAAGACGCGGAAGAUAAGGGCCUCAUAACACCGGGGAAGAGUGUUCUCAUUGAGACCACAGCGGGAAACACUGGUAUUGGCCUGGCAUGGAUUGCAGCAAUCAAGGGAUAUAGACUCAUUCUUAUAAUGCCAGCUUUAUUCAGCAUGGAGAGAAGAAUUCUGCUACUCGCUUUCGGAGCCGAGCUGCGUAUCACCGACCCGGAAAUGAGUGUUGAUGCUGUUCUAAAGAUGGCUGAGGAUCUAGAAAAAACCACACCCAACGGUUAUUAUAUGAGGCAAUUUGACAAUCCUGCCAAUACAAAAAUUCACUAUGAAACAACUGGCGUGGAGAUAUGGAGAGAUUCUGGUGGAAAAGUUGAUGCACUGGUGGCUGGGGUCGGGACGGGGGGAACGAUAACCGGUGCUGGGAAGUUCCUCAAAGAGCAGAAUCCAAAAAUCAAGGUGUAUGCAGUAGAACCAGUUGAAAGUGCAGCGUUGAGUGGCGGACGACAUGGUGAGUUCCUACUGUUGCAAAUAGACCGUUAGGAAUCCGAAUAUACUAAACGAAACUAAGUAACUAUAUUGCAAUAUCCAAAGAGAAAUUACAAUACCAAUAGUCUUUCGAGAGGGUUAUCUCUCUCCAAAAAUCUUUCCUCACACUAACUAUUUUUCAAGAUGAUCUCCUUCUAUCCUUGCUAUGUCUAUUUAUAACCAAUUCAACCUUAGCUAAUUACCAUAGUACCCUCUACUCAUAUACUAAUAAUAUUUCCCACAUACCUUUAGGAGUACUCUCACAUGAACAUACCCUUCAUACCCUUUUCUUCACUCUGGUGUUUAAAUUUUGUGGUAAUGCUUUCAAAGUUUUGUUGAUCCUUUUCAAAAUAAAAAAAAAAAAGAAAGAAAGUUUUGUUGAUAGAUAAAAGAAAUUUCUUCAAAGACAAUGUCAUGGUAUAUAAAACGCUUCCUAAUACACUAUAAACUUGGGAUGUAAGUGACCUUGUUGGUAAGUUUGGAUGGAAGUCAGAAGUUGUACUUGCUGGUGAAAAACAGAAAGGUGGAACUUUUAUUUAUUUUUCUUUUUGUUUUAUUUGAUAAUCGGGAUAUCAAGGGCCCACUGCUUGCGUUUGUGAAUAUCCAUGUUUUUUUUAUUAAUGAGAAGUCAAGUUUUCGAUAAGAAACAUGGAAGAAACUACGAGAGCAUACAAAAAACAGCCCAUACUAACAAACAAACGGACUCCAAUAAAAAGUAAUAAAACCUAACUUAUAAUUUCCAAAACAAUUUAGUGAUAGAAGUCCAUAAAGAUUCUAUUGUUCCUCUAAGCCCUAAGCUCCACGAGACAGCAAAAAAACAAGUCUACCAAAAAGCUUUUCAUUUAUCACGAAAAGGAAGAAAAUGGAGUGCCUCCUUUAUCAUAGAACAACAAUUCCUAUUACGCACCCAUAAGAUCAGAGAAUAUGAUUGAGAGAUUCUCCAACAUGAGCUUAUACAAACUGCACUUCUGUCGGACCCAACACAAAAGAGGAUGCCUCUAAAUACGAUCUAAGGUGUUAACUUCCCUUACAAAAUUAUGCGAUGCAAAGAAUUGGACCUUUUGAGAUCAUCCUUCCAAAGAGAGGAGACAAAAGAGGCAUCAGUAGGGACGGAGGGCACAUAAAAUCUGGUAGAAAGAGUUACAAGAAAAGCCCCCACAAGGGUUGGGGCCCAAAAACGAACAUCCAUAUUGGCAUCAUCUCAUACAAGGAAUUGGAGCUGGUUUCAUCCCUUCGAUUCUGAACAUCGAAUUGCUCGACGAAGUUAUUCAAGUAAG